Molecule: ribosomal RNA, 420 nt
Filed under: uncultured bacterium
Lineage: Bacteria
Description: bacterial SSU rRNA
Rfam family: Bacterial small subunit ribosomal RNA
Source: RNAcentral
UAAGGAAUAUUGCUCAAUGGGAGAAAUCCUGAGGCAGCAACGCCGCGUGGAGGAUGAAGGGUCUAUGACUUGUAAACUCCUGUAAAGAAGGAAAAAAUUCCCAUUAGAUGGGAGAUGAUGGUACUUCUGGAGUAAGCCCCGGCUAACUACGUGCCAGCAGCCGCGGUAAUACGUAGGGGGCAAGCGUUGUCCGGAUUUACUGGGUGUAAAGGGUGCUCAGGCGGAUUUGUAAGUCAGAGGUGAAAUCUUACAGCUUAACUGUGAAACUGCCUUUGAUACUGCAAGCCUAGAGUAUGGAAGAGAGUGAUGGAAUAUCUGGUGUAGCAGUGAAAUGCGUAGAUAUCAGAUAGAACACCAAUGGCGAAGGCAGUCACUUGGUCCAUUACUGACGCUAAAGCACGAAAGCGUGGGUAGCAAACA